RNAcentral lists this small RNA (558 nucleotides) under Pongo abelii (Sumatran orangutan). RNAcentral describes it as "retained intron". Lineage: Eukaryota; Metazoa; Chordata; Mammalia; Primates; Hominidae. The record is from RNAcentral.
AGCUGCUGAGGAAGGAGAGCAGACCCAGGAGAGCCAUGAAGCCUAGGAAAGCUGAGCCUCAUAGCUUCCGGGAGAAGGUUUUCCGGAAGAAACCUCCAGUCUGUGCAGUAUGUAAGGUGACCAUCGAUGGGACAGGCGUUUCGUGCAGAGGUGAGGCGCUCUGUCCUGUGACUCUGAGACCCUCCACCCAGUACCACUGUGUUGCACAACUCCAGCAGGCCAGCUCACACAAUCUCAAAUGUAAUAUGCUGCUCCUGGAUUAGGCACAAUGGCAGCUAAGCAGCAGCUGCCUCCCCCUUCAGAUGGCCUGGCUCCCCAUGACAGACACCCCCCACAACCCAGGAGAGCCAGUACUCUCCACCACCUUCCCAUCCUGACUUGUGACGGUAGUCUUCCUUCCCUCUCUUCCUCCUCACCUCCACCCACCCUGGAAUGUUACCCCUGGCCUGGGCAGUAGUACCCCACUGCCACACUCUUCCCUCAAAACCUAGCCCUGCUCCUCUGCCCCAGCCAGCCCAGUCCAGGUGGGAUCCUGGAAGUCCCAGGGUCUGGUUCCAG